AGUAACCUGAGAUGUGCGAUAACUCUUGUUUAUUUUGAACCUACAUUUCUUUAAACGGGAUUCCUAUAUCGUCAGGCGGCUGUCAAGCCCUCACUCCGUUCCUGCGGAGGAUUGGAAGGGAAGGCAAAAACCUUGGCUGCGGUCACCCACCUAGCAUUGCUAGGAGUCAGAAAGCAAGGGGCGGCAUUUCGGGUAUUUA
This 199-nucleotide non-coding RNA is filed under the name Acetatifactor sp. Its description in RNAcentral is "6S RNA". It matches the Rfam family "6S / SsrS RNA". From Rfam's summary of the family: E. coli 6S RNA was the first non coding RNA to be sequenced, but its function was unknown until recently. It consists of 184 nucleotides that fold into an extended hairpin structure with a large single-stranded internal bulge. The record is from RNAcentral. RNAcentral also lists the same sequence under 2 other names. Lineage: Bacteria; Bacillati; Bacillota; Clostridia; Lachnospirales; Lachnospiraceae.